Molecule: ribosomal RNA, 468 nt
Filed under: uncultured bacterium
Lineage: Bacteria
Description: partial 16S ribosomal RNA
Rfam family: Bacterial small subunit ribosomal RNA
Source: RNAcentral
GACGAACGCUGGCGGCGUGCUUAACACAUGCAAGUCGAACGGAAAGGCCCUGCUUUUGUGGGGUGCUCGAGUGGCGAACGGGUGAGUAACACGUGAGUAACCUGCCCUUGACUUUGGGAUAACUUCAGGAAACUGGGGCUAAUACCGGAUAGGAGCUCCUGCUGCAUGGUGGGGGUUGGAAAGUUUCGGCGGUUGGGGAUGGACUCGCGGCUUAUCAGCUUGUUGGUGGGGUAGUGGCUUACCAAGGCUUCGACGGGUAGCCGGCCUGAGAGGGUGACCGGCCACAUUGGGACUGAGAUACGGCCCAGACUCCUACGGGAGGCAGCAGUGGGGAAUAUUGCACAAUGGGCGGAAGCCUGAUGCAGCAACGCCGCGUGCGGGAUGAUGGCCUUCGGGUUGUAAACCGCUUUCGCCUGUGACGAAGCGUGAGUGACGGUAAUGGGUAAAGAAGCACCGGCUAACUACGUG